Molecule: ribosomal RNA, 433 nt
Filed under: uncultured bacterium
Lineage: Bacteria
Description: partial 16S ribosomal RNA
Rfam family: Bacterial small subunit ribosomal RNA
Source: RNAcentral
AGCGAACGCUGGCGGCAGGCUUAACACAUGCAAGUCGAGCGGGCCCUUCGGGGUCAGCGGCAGACGGGUGAGUAACACGUGGGAACGUACCCUUUGGUUCGGAAUAACGCUGGGAAACUAGCGCUAAUACCGGAUACGCCCUUUUGGGGAAAGGCUUGCUGCCGAAGGAUCAGCCCGCGUCUGAUUAGCUAGUUGGUGGGGUAAUGGCCUACCAAGGCGACGAUCAGUAGCUGGUCUGAGAGGAUGAUCAGCCACACUGGGACUGAGACACGGCCCAGACUCCUACGGGAGGCAGCAGUGGGGAAUAUUGGACAAUGGGCGCAAGCCUGAUCCAGCCAUGCCGCGUGAGUGAUGAAGGCCUUAGGGUUGUAAAGCUCUUUUGUCCGGGACGAUAAUGACGGUACCGGAAGAAUAAGCCCCGGCUAACUUCGUG